GAUGAACGCUGGCGGCGUGCCUAAUACAUGCAAGUCGAGCGAACAGACGAGGAGCUUGCUCCUUUGACGUUAGCGGCGGACGGGUGAGUAACACGCAGGUAACCUACCUAUAAGACUGGGAUAACUUCGGGAAACCGGAGCUAAUACCGGAUAAUAUUUCGAACCGCAUGGUUCGAUAGUGAAAGAUGGCUUUGCUAUCACUUAUAGAUGGACCUGCGCCGUAUUAGCUAGUUGGUAAGGUAACGGCUUACCAAGGCAACGAUACGUAGCCGACCUGAGAGGGUGAUCGGCCACACUGGAACUGAGACACGGUCCAGACUCCUACGGGAGGCAGCAGUAGGGAAUCUUCCGCAAUGGGCGAAAGCCUGACGGAGCAACGCCGCGUGAGUGAUGAAGGUCUUCGGAUCGUAAAACUCUGUUAUUAGGGAAGAACAAACGUGUAAGUAGCUGUGCACGUCUUGACGGUACCUAAUCAGAAAGCCACGGCUAACUACGUG
RNAcentral lists this ribosomal RNA (497 nucleotides) under uncultured bacterium. RNAcentral's name for it is "partial 16S ribosomal RNA". It matches the Rfam family "Bacterial small subunit ribosomal RNA", at positions 28 to 507 of the family's 1533-position model. The record is from RNAcentral.